UUCAAAUGCCUUUGUUCUGUCCCGUCACAACUCACAACUAGUUGGAGGAACCUAGUGUGACACCCUCUACCCCUCACAUAUAUAUUAAUAAAGAAAUAAAAAUUCAAAUAUUAAUUAAAAGUAUUUUUAAAACAUUUUUAAAUACAAGUCUUUCAAAGGGGUAAAAGACUCACAUUCACUUUCUUCUACAUCAUAUUCAAACUUGUCCAAAUUUAUAAUAAAGUCAUCUCGGCUCAAACAAGGUCGUAUAAGCUUCAUAUAAUUAAUAUAAAACAUAUAUCCUAAUGUCACAUCCUAUCAGAGCGUUGUGUUCCCGUGUCCUCUAGCAUGAGGUUCUUCAUAGUCAUCCACCUAUUCAUCUACUCCCCCGAACACAAAGUUCAAGAUCAUCACAGGAUCUAAACACAAACAACAAACUAGGAGUGAGUUAUCACAUUCCUAACUACUAGAGAGAAAUAAGACAACAUAUAGUAGUCAAAUACAAUUUACUUAGCAUAUUUCACAUUAUUUCAUCACUUUGUCAUUCAAAAUUUACUUUUCAAUCAUCAAUCACAAUACACAAGAAUCACACACUUCGAUCAAGACAUAAUAACACAUCAAUUUCAUAAUAAACAAUUAGCAAGCGUAUGCAACAGUUAUGCUAAGACUCAAGCCUAUAUGCAAUGUGGUACCAUGUUAGUGAAAAACCUCGUCGGGCGCCUAGGAGUACAUGACAAGACAAACCACACACUAGCAAGUCAAGUCACUCUCACUAGGUAAUAUCAUAGGGAGACCAGUCAGGGUCACAAUGUUUUGCGAGAAUGCUCCAACCAUAUGGGAUCAACAUAGGCUUAAAGGAGCACUCAAACCAUGUGACCCCCAAGGCCUACACUCCGAAGAGUUCGUCAGGGCCUCUCCCUCCUGAUUCAGGUCCAACCCAGAAAACAUUUUAGCACACAGACUCUAUCUAUGAACUGUACAAAACACACGACUCCUCAAUUAUUCUCAAAAUAAUUUUAACUCGUCACCCUUUAAGGAUCUUAUCAUUAACUCUUCGCCCUUAAAGGGACUUAACAUUAACUCGUCGCCCAAAAAGGGACAUAGAAUCAACUCGUCGCCCUAAAAGGGACUUAACAUCAACUCGUUGCCCUAAAAGGGACUUAACAUUAACUCAUCGCCCUUAAAGGGACUUAUGAUCGUGUGAUUGUACAAUUCAUAGUUCACAACUCAAUGCACACAACACCUCAAUGCACAUAUAUAUCUCAAUCAUAUACAUACUCAAUUUAUCACAUACACUUAAUCCCAAUCACAAUGAUAUAAUCUCAAUUUAACACGUUAUCACACCUCAUGAAUCAUAUACACUUUACCUAUGAAUUAUGCAAUACACACAUUUACUCAAUUGUUUUCAAAGUCAUUUUAACCCGUUGGGUUCCCAUAGUGGAUCUCAUCACAAUACCCGUCACCCUUAAAGGGUCUUAUAAUUGUGUGAUUGCACAAUUCAUAGCUCACAACUCAAUACACACAUCAAUAUACAUUUAUUUCACCAUUUAUCGCAGGUUCAAUUUAUCACAUACUCGUAAUUUGAAUCACCAUUUCGUAAUAUCAAUAUAAUAAUUUAUACAAAAGGUUUGUCACAACAUGGACAAUAAAACCCUUCAAAUAAUUUCACACAAUUAUAUCAAAAUCAUGGGUCAAAAAGCAAAAACAUCAAGAACACUCAAGUUUAUUAAUUAAUUCUCAUCAAAACAUCAAUUGGUAUGUAGAACACAACCAUAUUGUAUUUAUAAUCAUAAAGGAAAAAUUAUAAUUCAAUAAACAUCCCAAAAUAAAUCCAAAUUUAGUUCUCCAAGGAUCCCUACACAUGUUCAUUCUAACCCCAAUUGCGAUAAACUCAUCCCUUACCUCUAAGCGGACUCACAGCAGCGGACUCACGUGUCUUCUGACAGUGAUAGCGCCAUCUCUAGCGGUUCCUUGAGAUUUCUCCAGUUAUUCCUCCGACUGUUCCAAUAGAAUUCUCAAACGUCAGAGAAGAGAUUGAAGCCUUCACUUGUACUGUCUUCAUGCGAUUCCUUUUUCUCCCUCCAAGAAUAUUAUCUCGCAAAUCCCAACGGUGAAAGUGUGCACAAUUGAAUUUCGAACAACAUAUCCAAAUUUGACUACAAUCCAACGGUUAACGAAUCCGGGAUCGUAGUUUUACCGAGAUAGUUUUGAGUUUCUGCUAGAAAAUAAAAGGCUACAAUGCGAAGGGUUUUCCUCUAAGCUCAAACAUGAUUUUGAAAUUCCCAACGGUGAGAAUGUCCGGAUUUGGGUUGCGAACGUGACACUCAAAUUUCACGAUGAUCUAACGGUGAAUGAAUCUGAGAUCAUCAUUUUUCUGAUACAGGUUUUGUAGGCUGCGGGAAAAAGAAAGAGUUUUGGGGAAGAGGAGAGGAAAAACGAAAAUGAAGG
This 2427-nucleotide long non-coding RNA is filed under the name Glycine max (soybean). Its description in RNAcentral is "long non-coding RNA (GMAX_LNC002246)". The record is from RNAcentral. Lineage: Eukaryota; Viridiplantae; Streptophyta; Magnoliopsida; Fabales; Fabaceae.